AGAGUUUGAUCCUGGCUCAGAAUCAACGCUGGCGGCGCGCUUAACACAUGCAAGUCGCACGAGAAAGCAGGAGCAAUCUUGUGAGUAAAGUGGCGUACGGGUGAGUAACACGUGGAUCAUCUACCUCUUGGUGGGGAAUAACCCUGGGAAACCGGGGCUAAUACCGCAUAAGCCUGCGAAGGGAAAGCAGCAAUGCGCCGAGAGAGGAGUCCGCGGCCGAUUAGCUAGUUGGCGGGGUAACGGCCCACCAAGGCGAAGAUCGGUAGCCGGCCUGAGAGGGCACACGGCCACACUGGCACUGAAACACGGGCCAGACUCCUACGGGAGGCAGCAGUGGGGAAUCUUGCACAAUGGAGGAAACUCUGAUGCAGCGACGCCGCGUGAGCGAUGAAGCCCCUCGGGGUGUAAAGCUCUUUCGACGGGAAAGAUAAUGACGGUACCCGAAGAAGAAGCUGCGGCUAACUACGUGCCAGCAGCCGCGGUAAUACGUAGGCAGCAAGCGUUGUUCGGAAUUACUGGGCGUAAAGAGUGUGUAGGCGGUGUUCUAAGUCUGUUGUGAAAUCUCCCGGCUUAACUGGGAGGGUGCGGCGGAGACUGGAAUGCUAGAGUGUGGGAGAGGUAAGCGGAAUUCCUGGUGUAGCGGUGAAAUGCGUAGAUAUCAGGAGGAACACCUGUGGUGUAGACAGCUUACUGGACCACGACUGACGCUGAGACACGAAAGCGUGGGUAGCAAACAGGAUUAGAUACCCUAGUAGUCC
This 758-nucleotide ribosomal RNA is filed under the name uncultured bacterium. Its description in RNAcentral is "bacterial SSU rRNA". It matches the Rfam family "Bacterial small subunit ribosomal RNA", at positions 8 to 796 of the family's 1533-position model. The record is from RNAcentral.